UCGUAAGCAAGAAAAUAAAAGAUUAAAGGAGCGAGAGGUUUUGGGGUGGUUUAGACAAGAGGGGGCUAAAUUGAGGCAGAAGCUUGUGGAAAACAAAAGUGAGUCAUCAAAAGGGAAAAAUGAGAUUUCUGAAUCAUCACAGGUGUAUCCGUCGGCCCCUUUGUGGCCAGAGAGGCCUCCACCACACGCACACACAAAUCAACAUUCACAAGCGGGGCAGUAUCCUCUGAGACACAUGUCCUCUGAGCAAGCUGUAAUUAGUGAUGGCACACAAGAUGUGGACUGUGAAUUAACAGGAAGACUCACUGUCACCCUAAAGGAUAAGCGCAAUGGUGUUGGAGGAGAGAAUUGGAGACAUGAUGGAGAAGAAAGCGAGUGCUCCACUGGCACCUGUUAUUCUGAUGAAGUUGAACCUUGGUAUAGGACAGAGCUGAGUCGCAAUGAGGCCACAUCUCUACCUGGGAAUAAAACUGCAGCAGAGUCAGCAGCACCUCAGACUCAGGAAAUGCUGCACCCCCUAACCAAAAGAGAUAAGCUACACAAAAUGCACCAACAAAGCGAACAGGUUUCACAUCGGAAAGAGUUAAACACUACAGUUCUGCUAGAAGAGACACUUGUACGGCUGGAUCAGCUGAUAAAUAGACAUUCACAGGGAUUAAGGGAUCAGGAGAAAACAAAGCAUGUGAAGCAUCACACCUUUGAGGCCCCUGUACCAGGACAGACAGGGCCCACAAUCAGGAGAAUAGAACUGGUGGGAACAAUAACAGAUAAUCCUCCCAGAGGAAUGGAGGCAGCCGCAUCUGCUUGUUUCUCACCUUAUGAUACUGUUUCAAGUCAGCCUUUGUUAACAGAUAUCACAGGCCUACAAGACGCCAUUUCCAGGGGUCAGCCGGUGGAAAGGAGAGAGAACGAAGGCCAUGUGAGGGAGGAUGACAGAGGAAUGCGGCUGCGGAGUGGAAAGAUGGUGCACAGAGCAAGCAGUCUGCCACAUGAUUUCCAAAGUCACAAGGAUUCGGAAGCAGCAUGGCUGGAGCAGGGGAGUGAUGAGGGGUAUGGAGCCCCUAUGUGCCCUAUCAUGAAGAAAGGAGGGGUCUCAACAUAUGUGCCGUGGUCAUUCAUGGACAUGGUGGGACUGGCUGAGAGACUGCCUGACCUUUCACAAGGGGCGGGCAAAUGGAUAACAGCACUCGAGGAAAGUACAGCUGGAGUGACCCUGGCCUUGGGAGAUAUUAAAGCCCUCCUAAUGAAGGUAGUCGGCAAGCACGCAACAGUAAACAUCUUUGAAAAUGCUAAACUGGGUCGAGUUUGCCAAAGCAAUCUGCUGGAUGAUGUAAAUAUGGGGAUGCAUCGUACUGUGUUGUGGGAGGCGCUGAGGAAACAAUAUCCUGAUGAUGGAGACCCCUCUAGUUUAGAGGGGGAGGUUUUGAAGGAUGAGGAGUGUCCCUCUAAGUGGCUGCAUGCUUUUCAGCGCAAAUGGAAGGAUGAGACGGGAAGUGCCUGGAAUGCCAAUAAAUCUACAGAGGCCUUAUUCAAAAGUAUGGUGAAAAAGGGAUUGCCUGCUCCAGUGCAGCAAAAAUUAGAGCAAGUGGUGGGCCUGAGUAAGAUGGACUGGCCACUGUUUGUGGAGCAUAUAGUACAUCAUGUGAAUUAUCACAGAAAAGAGAAACAACGAGAGGAAGAGACCAAUAAACACCUGACUAAUAAAUUAACACAGCUACAGUUGGGAGAGCUGACAAAAAACAAAAAGGAGAAAACUAAAACACAGGCCCCGCUGAUAACCACACUAACUGAGACACAAGCCCCAGUGAUAGCAGCUACUCCAUCUCAGAACUAUGCCACGCCUCCCCCACAGGCUCAGACAGUUUUCCAGCCUGCUGCCUCAUCAGCACAUACACACAUCAGUAACUCUCCUGCUCAAACUGGGCCUGCCCUGCCUGCUAUACAUGUGUACGUGAAUCAGGGUGAAAACUCAUACCCACAGGGUCGUGGACGAGGCAGGGAGGCGAUGAGAGGAGGAUUGAUAAGGAGAGGACGAGGGAGAGGAGGACAAUUACCAACAUUUAGGCUCACCCAGCCUAACCCGCAGCAGAGCAAUGUGCCUAAAGGAGACAUCAUAUGUUGGAGCUGUAACCAGCCUAGACAUUUGCAAUGGGAUUGCCCUGUUAAUCCUUGGACAGGGCCCUCAGCAAACUGGUUAUAGGGGUGUCCGGAGGAGCCUGAGGGGGAGAUGGAGCUACCUGUGGUGUCAUUAAAUUCAUCAAAUGAGCCCAUCAUACCUGUAGAAAUACAGGGACACGAAUAUUCAUUUAUGGUGGACACAGGCGCGACCUAUUCAUGUAUUGGAACUGAAGGUGCUGGGCUCCCCCUCUCUACAGCAUCAGUUAAGACAGUAGGCUUCUCUGGAAAAACACAAGUUAUACCCCUCACCCAGCCAGUUCCAAUGAUGGUAUCAGGAAAAUCAAUUGUUGCACCGUUGUUGUAUUCAGCCGACACCCCAAUCAAUCUUAUGGGAAGAGAUAUUUUGUGCCCUCUAAAAGCAAAAAUAAUGUGCACCCCUGAUGGACUGUAUGUGGAUUUUCCACAGGAAGAAAUACAUAGAAUGAUGCCAACUCAAACUGAAAAAGAGGUUGAACGUCUGAUGCAGCCUCUAGUCUAUUGGCUGCAGCUAACACCUGAAGAAUCCAUGCUGAAGCAGGAAUGGACAAAGUGGAAAGUCUGGGUGCAGACACAGAUGGGUGAAGUGGAGGAAGUCCGGCUGCCGUUACAUUGCACAUUGCUCUUCGACGGAAAUCACCGCUUUAAGGAUUAUGAAGCCUGCUGGGAUGAACUGCUUAAUAAAAAGCCAUUUCUCAUAACUAGUGAAGACAUUUACAUUGGCCCACAAGGAGCGGCAGCAGCAGUAACCCUCCCUGAUGAAUUAAAAGACUGGUUUCAAGUGCAAAACUCUGUGCCGCAUAUCACUCUUUUGAUUGCUCAGGGACAUGAAUCUCAUGAGUUGGGGCCUAUGAUAAAGCAGGCUCUGCAGGUGAAAGGAGCCACAGCGGACCGAGACGCAGAGAUUCCUGACCAUCUGCUGACCAUACGGCCAGGCGACCAGGUGUACUUGAAAGUGAUUAAGAGAAGGUGGGACCAACCUAGAAGGGAAGGCCCGUACACAGUUAUCCUAGCAACUCCAACAGCUGUUAAAGUUGCAGAUACUGAUCGCCAAGACCUUGAAGGCAGUGACGCAGUUUCCUGUUCGGAUAGACCAAAGUGUGGAUUUCACAGUAGCAGUGGAAUCGUCUCCUCGGGAGCCUCAGCAAGGACCAGAUUAUGCUGAUAUGUCUCAUUAUGAAUCAUUUGAUGACUUGUUAGCUUAUAUUGCCAUGGGGAGUGGAUGCGUAGAUGAAAAUGGCCCAGUUGAGGAACCGCCUUAUGGGGUUCCCUCUAACAUCCCUGCACAGGGUGUGGGUUGUGAUGUCUUCACCCCUUCCAGAGUGACACCGUAGUAAAAAUUAAAGAAAUUAAGUAAAAAGUAAAAAACAUUAAAAAAAAAAAAAAAAAGAGUAAAAAUAAAAAGUAUGUAAUCAAUGAAUACUGAUUAGUUAAAAAAAAAGAGUAUAGUAACUGGGACGAGAACAUUUAUGUGUGGGACGUGUCUAAUUUUGUGCUUUAUGUUACAUAGAUAAACAGUAAUGGCAGAAUCAGGAGUGAAGAUAGAGUAUUCAGACAGCCCUACUAGGCCUGGGACCAGUCAGUCACUGGAGAGACCCUUGUGGCGCCCAUCCGCAGCCAACCAGCCAGAGGUCCCGCCCGACAUCAAAGUGGGGAAGUUUUGGCUUCAGCGGUUGGCAUCCAUUCAUCCUGCAUCCGCCCAGGGGGGGCAGCCAGAGCCACAGAGGGCACCUCUCUGGACCCUAGUUCCAGAGCCACGCGCGCCUACAUCACCGAUGACACCACCACAGUCUCCUGUCUAUUCUGGAUCCUCAACACCACCUACUCCCAGGGCCCUAACGCCAAUUCCAGAGUCUCAGAGGUCACCCAGACCGGGGCCAAGCCACUCUCAGAGCCCAUACAGACCUCCGAUCGUCGACCUUCUGUCAUUAAGCCCCGUGUCCACUGCCAGCAUGACCUAUGAGCAUUCCGGACGUGAUGAAGGGUCUACACGUUCUAACACCCCUGUCCAGGGAAGUGCAGCUGAGUCUACAGUGACAGCGUGGGGAGAUGUUGCUGAUUCCACUGUGCAAGAACACCUUAUGCAACUCCCCAAGCCUGAAUUCCAAAGAGAAAUUCGAAAGCUGCCUACAAGCUGGGCCCAGGAGAUCAAAAGGAAAAGAAAUAAUUACAAUGCCCGCUGUCAGUAUGCUCAACGCAAGCAGAUGUAUGCAACCGCCCUGCAGACCACAGAGCACUAUGCCCAUCAUCUCAUUCGCCAAAACGAUGCGUGGGAGCGGGCUUGGGAGAGGAGCACCCACGAGUUGGGUGAGGUGAGAGUUGAGAAUGCCCGCUACACUGAGAGGAAUGCUGAUCUGAUGCGAGAGGUGGCUGAACUACAAAAGCAAGUGAAAGGUCAGGAAGAUCAUUCCAACUUCAUCACUCGCAAGUUGUCUGAAGCCCUUCACACCAUUGGAGCCCAGAGUAAAGAGAUCCAGAGACUCACUGCUGAAAAUGUCAGGCUUCAUGUGGUCAAUGACCAACUCAUGGCUAAUAAGGGAGUUGGUGGAGAAAGUGCUCCUGCACGCCAAUCAGUGGGUGGGGAGUAAGGCCAUGAAAGGACUGAAGGUCUGGCUUGAAUGAUGCCAUAUACUGUGAUUAUGCAUAAUAUGUAACCUGAAAUAUAUAUUCAUUUCAUGUGUCUUACUUAUACAUCCUAUGCCUUAAUUAGCAGUUAACAUAUAUCUAUUAGUUGAUCUUUCUUAUUUUGAGUUCUAUCAUAAUUGAUGACAAUCACAGUGUGUUAUGCAAGGUGCUCUGCAAUUGUGGAUGAACAAUACUAUGGCCAUGGCAGGUUGGAUUUUGUGUGUUUCAUGUCGCCUUUGCUUAGCACCUGCUGUUGAUUAUCUUGUCUACUCAUUAAACUAUGUAAGGAGCUUGCUUUAAAGUAUAUUAGCAAAAAAACAGCACAUGCCGUAGUUAGAUAUUCACCAUUUUUGUUUUUCAUAUUAUGGGGUUUUUAGGUGGUACCUCCAGGUACCACAGGGGGGAAUGUAGUGGAUUUUUGUAUGACAUGUAUACUUAUAAAUCUAACAUGAUGGAUUUUUGUACUUAUAUAUCGAUCUGAAUAACUUUCAUGUGGAGUUUGAGGCAUGCAGUGGUUCUCUCACACACACACACACACACACACACACACACACCCACAAGUCAUGCAGCACACUCAUGAGGCAUAUCUUCACUGUCCUGUACACACACACACCCACUAUAAACCUACACUGGAGUGUUUAUUUUUAUGUAAUGCAUUUAACUCAUAUAUUUGAUGUAGUUAGGCCAAGUAUUAUUCACAUUAAUAUCAUAAUUAUCUUUUAUAAACUAUGCUAUUUGCUGUACUAAUGUGUGACCUUUGACCAUGUUGUGACCUAUUGUCAGAGGGUAAAGCAAAGGGUUAACCUAGGGGUGUCACUUUGGACCGGGCGUUCAGCCAGUGCCAGGUGUGAACUCUGGCCGGCAUUUGACCCUGCACCUGCUCCUGGGUGCGUGGGAAAGUUACUCAGCAGCAGGAGGUGGGACUACUGGUACCUUUAAAAGGGGGCCGGGGACAGCCCUCUGGGCUUUUUCCUGCUGUCUGUCCGUGGGGUUGGUCCCUACCUGCAUGCGCUUACUGCGAACACCCUAGGGGAGCUUUGCUUUUCCUUCUGUUUUGCUGAGCUACACUGUUCAAUAAAACAGCUGGCAUAGAA
Oreochromis niloticus (Nile tilapia) is the source of this 5873-nucleotide RNA transcript. It is a transcript of the gene named protein transport protein SEC31, with no coding region annotated. The transcript is spliced from 3 exons. NCBI's taxonomy places the organism in Eukaryota, Metazoa, Chordata, Actinopteri, Cichliformes, Cichlidae. The record is from RefSeq and is a predicted model, not a curated record.